This 114-nucleotide ribosomal RNA is filed under the name Cebus imitator (Panamanian white-faced capuchin). Lineage: Eukaryota; Metazoa; Chordata; Mammalia; Primates; Cebidae. The record is from RNAcentral.
AUCUACAGCCAUAUCACCCUGAAUGGUUUCAAUCUUGCCUAAUCUUAGAAGUAGAGUUGAGCCUGGUUACUACUUGGAUGGAAGACUGCCUGGGAAUAUUGGGUGCCAGAGGCU